ACACUCAGGAGUUUGUGUGAAUAAGUUUAUAUAAUUUAUUGUCUUUCUGUAACAUUUAUAGACCAGACAUAAAACAGUGAAUACAAAGAUUGCAGUAGUAAAUAAAUUUAAGAAUAUUAAAGCAAGCAUUUCAAUAAAAAAUCUUAAGUAAUAAGCCCAAAGGGAAACUGGCUGGGUAAAUGUUAAAUAAUUUGGGGUUCUGCAAAAUUGACAAGAGAGGGAUCUUAAACCAAUAACCUCUGAAUUAAGGUACUUUGUACUUUGCUCUACUUUAUGUUGAUAGUCUCCCCUUUUUUAUUUGACAUUUGAAAUGAAAAGUAACUCCCUGUCUGCCGAUUCCCAGGUUGAAAUAAAAGGUAACUCCCUGUCUGCCGAUUCCCAGGUUGAAAUAAAAGGUAACUCCCUGUCUGCCGAUUCCCAGGUUG
Asterias rubens (European starfish) is the source of this 425-nucleotide long non-coding RNA. RefSeq lists it as uncharacterized. Lineage: Eukaryota; Metazoa; Echinodermata; Asteroidea; Forcipulatida; Asteriidae. The transcript has 2 exons. The record is from RefSeq and is a predicted model, not a curated record.